GAAUCAGACAUGGAUCCUGCCCUCGAGGAA
RNAcentral lists this non-coding RNA (30 nucleotides) under Mus musculus (house mouse). RNAcentral also lists the same sequence under 1 other name. The record is from RNAcentral. Lineage: Eukaryota; Metazoa; Chordata; Mammalia; Rodentia; Muridae.